This 497-nucleotide ribosomal RNA is filed under the name uncultured bacterium. RNAcentral describes it as "partial 16S ribosomal RNA". It matches the Rfam family "Bacterial small subunit ribosomal RNA", at positions 28 to 507 of the family's 1533-position model. The record is from RNAcentral.
GAUGAACGCUGGCGGCGUACCUAAUACAUGCAAGUCGAGCGAACAGACGAGGAGCUUGCUCCUCUGACGUUAGCGGCGGACGGGUGAGUAACACGUGGAUAACCUACCUAUAAGACUGGGAUAACUUCGGGAAACCGGAGCUAAUACCGGAUAAUAUAUUGAACCGCAUGGUUCAAUAGUGAAAGACGGUUUUGCUGUCACUUAUAGAUGGAUCCGCGCCGCAUUAGCUAGUUGGUAAGGUAACGGCUUACCAAGGCAACGAUGCGUAGCCGACCUGAGAGGGUGAUCGGCCACACUGGAACUGAGACACGGUCCAGACUCCUACGGGAGGCAGCAGUAGGGAAUCUUCCGCAAAGGGCGAAAGCCUGACGGAGCAACGCCGCGUGAGUGAUGAAGGUCUUCGGAUCGUAAAACUCUGUUAUUAGGGAAGAACAAAUGUGUAAGUAACUAUGCACGUCUUGACGGUACCUAAUCAGAAAGCCACGGCUAACUACGUG